UUCUUAUUGGAUGAUGACUGUCACGUGUCAUGUUCUGAUUGGAUGUCAACUCCAUAAAAGAAAUGAAUUGUUGUUUUCAUUGACUAAUUAGAACAUGACACGUAGCAGUCAUCAUCU
Molecule: non-coding RNA, 117 nt
Organism: Glycine soja
Lineage: Eukaryota; Viridiplantae; Streptophyta; Magnoliopsida; Fabales; Fabaceae
Source: Rfam